Oncorhynchus keta (chum salmon) is the source of this 658-nucleotide long non-coding RNA. RefSeq lists it as uncharacterized. The record is from RefSeq and is a predicted model, not a curated record. The transcript is spliced from 6 exons. Lineage: Eukaryota; Metazoa; Chordata; Actinopteri; Salmoniformes; Salmonidae.
GCCUAGUGGUUAGAGGAGGCAGGUAGCCUAGUGGUUAGAGGAGGCAGGUAGCCUAGUGGUUAGAGGAGGCAGGUAGCCUAGUGGUUAGAGGAGGCAGGUAGCCUAGUGGUUAGAGGAGGCAGGUAGCCUAGUGGUUAGAGGAGGCAGGUAGCCUGGUGGUUAGAGGAGGCAGGUAGCCUAGUGGUUAGAGGAGGCAGGUAGCCUAGUGGUUAGAGGAGGCAGGUAGCCUAGUGGUUAGAGGAGACAGGUAGCCUAGUGGUUAGAGGAGGCAGGUAGCCUAGUGGUUAGAGGAGGCAGGUAGCCUAGUGGUUAGAGGAGGCAGGUAGCCUAGUGGUUAGAGGAGGCAGGUAGCCUAGUGGUUAGAGGAGACAGGUAGCCUAGUGGUUAGAGGAGGCAGGUAGCCUGGUGGUUAGAGGAGGCAGGUAGCCUGGUGGUUAGAGGAGGCAGGUAGCCUAGUGGUUAGAGGAGGCAGGUAGCCUGGUGGUUAGAGGAGGCAGGUAGCCUGGUGGUUAGAGGAGGCAGGUAGCCUAGUGGUUAGAGGAGACAGGUAGCCUGGUGGUUAGAGGAGGCAGGUAGCCUGGUGGUUAGAGGAGGCAGGUAGCCUAGUGGUUAGAGGAGGCAGGUAGCCUAGUGGUUAGAGGAGGCAGGUAGCCUAGUG